UGCCAAGCCAGAACACACCGAGGGUGGAGUCCGAAACCCACCUCACCUUAGAAGAAAGGAAGCCCAUUAAAGAAGAGUCUUCUAGGCUGGGAAUCUGAGUAGCGGCACUCUUAUGAGCCAAAGGAAUGGGAGUCACAGCCAGCAAGAGGAGCAAGCGAUUAAUAUCCUGGAACCAGGCAGGAAAGCUGGAGCGGUGAGCCUUGGGCUCAUGCUGGGGUCUUUGCCAUACCCCCAGCAUCAGUAUGUUGCAGGCUGUCAUCCCAGAUCUGUGGAGUGAGUGCUCUGACGGAAGGAAAGGCUGUACCCGGAAGGACAGAAGGACGAAGAAGCCUACUAUUUUGCAGGAGACAGCUGAGGACCACCUGAGGCCUCUUGUGCUGGGUGAAGAGGGCUAAUUCUUCUGGCUUAAAGAUACAUUGCAAUAGAGACAGCUAUUAAGUGACCAGUCUGAUGAGAUCCUUUCUACACUGGUUUCCCUGUCUGGAAAAGCCACCAGCUGGUAAUGCUAUCGUCCAGCAAUCAUUCUACACAGCCACACCUCGGGAUGUGAUCGUUGGUAGCCUCACCUGGAUUGAAUUUCCCAAACAAACUUCUGGAAAAGUAAGAGGCCUGAGUUACAGAUCCAGGGGGCAGGGGGAAAAAAUCCCCUGUAAGCUAUAUCUUACACCCGGAUGGUCAGAGAUGCAGGCAUAUUCGAAAAGGGUGAUUCAGUCUCUUCAUCGGAGCACGCCCAUCAGACACUAGGCCAGCCCAGACCCAGACAAAGCUCCUGUUCUAAGAGCCAUGAUUGAAAUUCCUCGUGGAAAGUCUGUCUUUGAGACACUCAGAACACCUCAUUUAAUUCUCAUUUCCUUUUUAAGUCAGGUCCCUCCUUCCCGAGAACCACAUUUAAAGCUGCUAGCUGGCUUCCCUUCUGUUUUGCUCUCUGUGUGCCAACUUCAAGGGUGGGGAGAGCCACGUUAAUUUAAAAAUAUAGCACACAUAGCAAAAGGGGGGUUGAUUUAAAGUAAAAACCACAGGAAGGGUUUUCCCCUUCCCUCCGGUGUUUUUCAGACUUCCCUAGAUUUACCUUUAUUUCCUCAGAGCCCAGACAUAGAAAGUGAGCGAGCCUCAUUGGCUGCUCUUCCAAACUGAAGCAAAAAGCCUCCAGUGGACUGCCAUGGGUUUUAUUCUCCUGUAGGGUCUUUCUAAGCACUCUAGAUUUGGGUCAAUUGUGUCCUACCCCUUUGGAUCAAUUGUAUCCACUUUUGGGUUUUGGGAAUGUGGCUUUAAGGGUCGAGUUCCUAGAUCAAAUCCUGAUCUCAUUAUUUAUUAGUUUUCUGACUUUACAUCAAAUGGGAAUCAUUCACGAUGUUCAGACCAUAGUGAGUCAAGGUCUAAAAAGGGCCUGGAGCAAAAGGAGCGACCAAUAGGAGGUGGCUAUUAUGAAAAUAGACCGGUUCAUCUGUCGGCUCCCUCUCUAGUUUCCAUCUCCCGUUUUGGAACGGAAAGAAAAUUCGUUAUCUAUUUCAAGUGGAGGAUCUACCUCCAUUUUAAAUCACUCGUGAGCUCACCAGAAGGGGAGGCCAGACCGAGCUGAAUUUGCAAAUACCUAGGCCUUUUAACCGAAUGGAAGCCCGGUCCUUGCGCCUUAACAGAACAAGAGCGAACCGGUUGGGACUUGGGAAGCCUUGAAGGGAUGGCAAUGGCUCAGUUUAAAGAAGAAGGUCUAAGUAAGAUCCGGGGGUGGGAGGGAUUCACCUGAAAAAGGAAAGCCGCUGCAAGGUGUCUGUAGGCAGAGCUGACGGCAGUGAAACUCCAUGCGCGUGCGGCAGCGCCCUCUGCCGGCAGCGGGGGCGCAAAUCUGGAGCCUGGCCCCGCGGCUGGUCAAAUGGGACUCCGGAUCCCUUCUGCUGCCUCCGCCCCCGCUCCGUCCCUUCUCGUGAUCGCGCAGCCGGGUCUGGGACUGGAUUCCAGAAGAGGCGUCCCCAUCCUACGCCUGAAGGCAGGAGGAAGGACGCUGCUCUAAAACACCCGGUUCAUCAGCAGAGCGGAGGCUGCAGGAACCUACCCAAACCCACCUGGGGCUGCUUUUGCCUCCCGGAAACCCGGGCAGAAGCCUGCGGGGCGGUCGGAGGUGGUUUGGAAGUGGCAUCGCCUAUGGCCAAGACCGAGAGGGUUCUGCGGACAGAGAGGAGCCCUGGGUUCGCUUUCUGCCUCAUCCAGCUAGGUGACCUUGGGCAAGGUACUUAAAUUUCCAUGUGCCUUGUUUUCCUCAUCUUUAAGAUGGAGAGAACGCUCCCGACCUUAACGGGUUGGCUUGAGGAUUACACGAGAAUAGACAGCCUAGGUUGGGAUUCUGGCUUUGGCAUUAGCUAGCUGUGUGCCCUGGGGCAGGUUACUUAACCUCUCUGCCCUGGUUUCCUGCAAAAUGGGGAUCAUAACGGUACUUACCUCCGAGGGUUGUUGCCUGCAAAGCGCUUAACACUGCCUUGGCAGAGUAAGCGCUCAAUAAACUGUGGCUAUUA
Non-coding RNA from Peromyscus maniculatus bairdii (prairie deer mouse), 2507 nucleotides. NCBI's taxonomy places the organism in Eukaryota, Metazoa, Chordata, Mammalia, Rodentia, Cricetidae. The record is from RefSeq and is a predicted model, not a curated record.